GACGAACGCUGGCGGCGUGCUUAACACAUGCCAGUCGAACGUGAUUUUUGUGGAAAUUCUUUCGGGAAUGGAAAUGAAAUGAAAGUGGCGAACGGGUGAGUAACACGUGAGCAACCUACCUUACACAGGGGGAUAGCCGUUGGAAACGACGAUUAAUACCGCAUGAGACCACAGAAUCGCAUGAUAUAGGGGUCAAAGAUUUAUCGGUGUAAGAAGGGCUCGCGUCUGAUUAGCUAGUUGGAAGGGUAAAGGCCUACCAAGGCGACGAUCAGUAGCCGGUCUGAGAGGAUGGACGGCCACAUUGGAACUGAGACACGGUCCAAACUCCUACGGGAGGCAGCAGUGGGGAAUAUUGCACAAUGGGGGGAACCCUGAUGCAGCGACGCCGCGUGAGCGAAGAAGGUUUUCGAAUCGUAAAGCUCUGUCCUAUGAGAAGAUAAUGACGGUAUCAUAGGAGGAAGCCCCGGCUAAAUACGUG
Molecule: ribosomal RNA, 478 nt
Filed under: uncultured bacterium
Lineage: Bacteria
Description: partial 16S ribosomal RNA
Rfam family: Bacterial small subunit ribosomal RNA
Source: RNAcentral